RNAcentral lists this ribosomal RNA (492 nucleotides) under uncultured bacterium. RNAcentral's name for it is "partial 16S ribosomal RNA". It matches the Rfam family "Bacterial small subunit ribosomal RNA", at positions 29 to 507 of the family's 1533-position model. The record is from RNAcentral.
AGUGAACGCUGGCGGUAGGCCUAACACAUGCAAGUCGAACGGCAGCACAGUAAGAGCUUGCUCUUACGGGUGGCGAGUGGCGGACGGGUGAGGAAUACAUCGGAAUCUACUUUUUCGUGGGGGAUCACGUAGGGAAACUUACGCUAAUACCGCAUACGACCUACGGGUGAAAGCAGGGGAUCUUCGGACCUUGCGCGAUUGAAUGAGCCGAUGUCGGAUUUGCUAGUUGGCGGGGUAAAGGCCCACCAAGGCGACGAUCCGUUGCUGGUCUGAGAGGAUGAUCAGCCACAUUGGAAGUGGGACACGGUCAAGACGACUAAGGGAGGGAGCAGUGGGGAAUAUUGGACAACAGGCGGGAGCCUGAUACAGCCAGACCGAGUGGGUGACGAAGGCCUUGGGGUUGUAAAGCCCUUUUUUUGGGAAAGAAAAGCAGUAGGUUAAGACGCCGCGGUUCUGACGGUACCCAAAGAAGAAGCACCGGCUAACUUCGUG